GAUGAACGCUGGCGGCGUGCCUAAUACAUGCAAGUCGAACGAAAAGACGCUGAGCUUGCUACUCUGACGUUAGCGGCGGACGGAUCAGUAAAAUGACGAUAACCUACCUAUAAGACUGGGCUAACUACCGGAAACCGAAACUAAUACCGUACUACAUAUUCAAGCGCGUGGUUCAAUAGUUCAAGACGGUUUUGCUGGACUCUAUACCUAGCUCCGCGCUGCAUUAGCUGGUUGGUACGGUAACGGCUUACCAAGGCGACGAUGCGUGGCCGACCGGAGAGGGGGAUCGGCCACACGGGAGCUGAGACACGGUCCAGAGUCCUACGGGAGGCAGCAGCAGGGAAUCGUCGGAAAUGGGCGAAAGCCUGACGGAGCAACGCCGCGUGAGUGAUGAAGGUCUUCGGAUCGUAAAACUCUGUUAGUAGGGAAGAACAAAUGUGUAAGGAACUAUGCAUGUCUUGACGGUACCUAAUCAGAAAGCCACGGCUAACUACGUG
This 497-nucleotide ribosomal RNA is filed under the name uncultured bacterium. RNAcentral describes it as "partial 16S ribosomal RNA". It matches the Rfam family "Bacterial small subunit ribosomal RNA", at positions 28 to 507 of the family's 1533-position model. The record is from RNAcentral.